CCGAGUUGAUUCGGGCUCCGGCCCGAUCCUCCCA
This 34-nucleotide ribosomal RNA is filed under the name Botryosphaeria dothidea. RNAcentral describes it as "partial 18S ribosomal RNA". The record is from RNAcentral. Lineage: Eukaryota; Fungi; Ascomycota; Dothideomycetes; Botryosphaeriales; Botryosphaeriaceae.